GGGUAUAGCUCAAGUGGUAGAGCGCAUGCUUAGCAUGCCCAAGGUCCUGGGUUCAAUCCCCAGUACUUCCU
Molecule: transfer RNA, 71 nt
Filed under: Camelus bactrianus (Bactrian camel)
Lineage: Eukaryota; Metazoa; Chordata; Mammalia; Artiodactyla; Camelidae
Also listed under: 2 other names
Rfam family: tRNA
About the family: Transfer RNA (tRNA) molecules are approximately 80 nucleotides in length. Their secondary structure includes four short double-helical elements and three loops (D, anti-codon, and T loops).
Source: Rfam by way of RNAcentral